RNAcentral lists this ribosomal RNA (515 nucleotides) under uncultured bacterium. RNAcentral describes it as "partial 16S ribosomal RNA". It matches the Rfam family "Bacterial small subunit ribosomal RNA", at positions 28 to 523 of the family's 1533-position model. The record is from RNAcentral.
GAUGAACGCUGGCGGCGUGCCUAAUACAUGCAAGUCGAGCGAAUGGAUUAAGAGCUUGCUCUUAUGAAGUUAGCGGCGGACGGGUGAGUAACACGUGGGUAACCUGCCCAUAAGACUGGGAUAACUCCGGGAAACCGGGGCUAAUACCGGAUAACAUUUUGAACCGCAUGAUUCGAAAUCGAAAGGCGGCUUCGGCUGUCACUUAUGGAUGGACCCGCGUCGCAUUAGCUAGUUGGUGAGGUAACGGCUCACCAAGGCAACGAUGCGUAGCCGACCUGAGAGGGUGAUCGGCCACACUGGGACUGGGACACGGCCCAGACUCCUACGGGAGGCAGCAGUAGGGAAUCUUCCGCAAUGGACGAAAGUCUGACGGAGCAACGCCGCGUGAGUGAUGAAGGCUUUCGGGUCGUAAAACUCUGUUGUUAGGGAAGAACAAGUGCUAGUUGAAUAAGCUGGCACCUUGACGGUACCUAACCAGAAAGCCACGGCUAACUACGUGCCAGCCGCCGCAGUAA